GCAAGAAAAUCAAAGCUUUCGCCUUCUGGGCGGAGCUACAUGAAGAAUCUGGAACUAUAGCGUCGCUCAGAUCACAUGAGGCGAGGUAUAUUUCAACAUCCAAAGUCCAAGUCAAAUAGUUACCACCAUCAAGAGCAAGCUCGGUGAAUUCUCUUUUGUUGAUAUCAGACAUAUUCAAACUAUAACAAAUAAUGAAAAGAAAA
RNAcentral lists this long non-coding RNA (203 nucleotides) under Salvia miltiorrhiza (redroot sage). RNAcentral's name for it is "long non-coding RNA (SMIL_LNC001435)". The record is from RNAcentral. Lineage: Eukaryota; Viridiplantae; Streptophyta; Magnoliopsida; Lamiales; Lamiaceae.